RNAcentral lists this ribosomal RNA (586 nucleotides) under Vermamoeba vermiformis. RNAcentral's name for it is "SSU rRNA". It matches the Rfam family "Eukaryotic small subunit ribosomal RNA", at positions 610 to 1199 of the family's 1831-position model. Lineage: Eukaryota; Tubulinea; Echinamoebida; Vermamoebidae. The record is from RNAcentral.
UUGUUGCAGUUAAAGCUCGUAGUUGGAUUUCGGAAGGUCCUUAGUAAUCCGCCCCUUCGGGGAGCGGGUUACUGGCCUCCUAUGUUCCUAACGGUCCUCAUCCGCGAGGGUGGGGAAUCAACCGCUAGGAUCGUUUACUUUGAGGAAAUUAGAGUGUUCAAAGCAGGCGUAACUCGCCUCCGAAUACGUUAGCAUGGGAUAAUGGAAUACGACUUCGGUCUUGUUUCGUUGGUUUCGCUUGGCUGAAGUAAUGAUUGAUAGGGACAGUUGGGGGCAUUAGUAUUUAGUUGUCAGAGGUGAAAUUCUAGGAUUUACUAAAGACUGACCAAUGCGAAAGCAUUUGCCAAGGAUGUUUUCAUUAAUCAAGAACGAAAGUAGGGGGAUCGAAGACGAUCAGAUACCGUCGUAGUCUCUACCGUAAACUAUGCCGACCAGGGAUCCGGAGAGUUUGCAUGGAUGACUCCCCGGGCACCUUGUGAGAAAUCAUAAGUGUUUGGGUUUUGGGGGGAGUAUGGUCGCAAGGCUGAAACUUAAAGGAAUUGACGGAAGGGCACCACCAGGAGUGGAACCUGCGGCUUAAUUUGAU